RNAcentral lists this ribosomal RNA (450 nucleotides) under uncultured bacterium. RNAcentral describes it as "partial 16S ribosomal RNA". It matches the Rfam family "Bacterial small subunit ribosomal RNA", at positions 354 to 796 of the family's 1533-position model. The record is from RNAcentral.
GUGAGGAAUUUUGGACAAUGGGCGCAAGCCUGAUCCAGCAAUGCCGCGUGCAGGAAGAAGGCCUUCGGGUUGUAAACUGCUUUUGUACGGAACGAAACGGUCCUGGCUAAUACCCGGGGCUAAUGACGGUACCGUAAGAAUAAGCACCGGCUAACUACGUGCCAGCAGCCGCGGUAAUACGUAGGGUGCGAGCGUUAAUCGGAAUUACUGGGCGUAAAGCGUGCGCAGGCGGUGCUGUAAGACAGGCGUGAAAUCCCCGGGCUCAACCUGGGAAUUGCGCUUGUGACUGCAGUGCUGGAGUGCGGCAGAGGGGGAUGGAAUUCCGCGUGUAGCAGUGAAAUGCGUAGAUAUGCGGAGGAACACCGAUGGCGAAGGCAAUCCCCUGGGCCUGCACUGACGCUCAUGCACGAAAGCGUGGGGAGCAAACAGGAUUAGAUACCCGAGUAGUCC